Pantherophis guttatus is the source of this 1391-nucleotide long non-coding RNA. RefSeq lists it as uncharacterized. NCBI's taxonomy places the organism in Eukaryota, Metazoa, Chordata, Lepidosauria, Squamata, Colubridae. The record is from RefSeq and is a predicted model, not a curated record.
UUUUAUUGUCCAAUUUAGAGGUUCCACUCUUCAGCAUCUUCAAAAUAGUGGGGAAUGUGGAAGCCUUUAGCAAUCAUGUCCCCAGAGAGCUCCACGAGUUGCAAAAUGAGGCCUUGAGGAUUUCAUGUGGCUCUGUCAUCAGUUGCUUAAGGUGUUAAGCGAAGCAUGCAGACAUUAGGCAAAUCUGGCUCCCCCCCCAUUGACUUUGCUCAUCAGAAGUCAGCUGGGAAGUUUACAAAUGGUGAUCAUAUGACCCCGGGACCUGCAACUGUCAUAAAUACAUGCCAGAUGCCAAGUGCCCGAAUUCUGAGAUGCUGCAAUGAACAUUAAUUUGAAAAGUGGACAUAUGUCACUUUUUUCAAUGGUGUUGCAACUUCAAAUGGUCACUCAGCGAACGAUUGCAAGUCAAGGACUACUUCUGCAACAGCUGGAUUAUGGACAGUCUUCACAAAGCAAAGCUCAAAGGCUUUUAUGGACAUAGAACGUGGUUUACAAAAAUACGAUUAUAUACACUGGUAGCAUAAAACAAAAAACAAAAAGUGCCAGAUCAAAAUACAUGAUUUCAACCCCUUCUAGAUGGCAGUCGAGAGGAAGCUCGCCAACACCAAAGGCAAUUUGUUCCAUACGGUAUAUAAACCCUGCCAUGGAAAAAUGAUGGUCAUAUUAUAAUUAUUUCUGUUGCUGAAGCUAUUUUUUGCUUGUCUUUGUUGUUGUGUUUCCUUUUUUUAUGUUCUAAUUGCUCUGUAGGCAGCUCAGAGAAUUAAUGUUAUUCAGUGAUUCAGAUGUACGGAUGGCUUCCUUUGAAAUGAAUUCGGAAGUGACACUUGUUCCUGAUUGCUUCAGCCUUUGAUCCAUCCAGCUGUGGCUUGAUCCAGAGAGAUGGGACUUUUCAGUGGCUGCCCUCAGCUCUGCACUCCCUUCCAAGGGGGUGGGGGCGUUAUUUCCCUUAUUAAUAAUCUUUAACUAAUUAAAGACUUUAACUUUUGGAAGACUUUGAUAGUAUAAUUUUUAUCAGCAUGUUUACUGUUCUUUUUCUGUUAGUUUAGUCAGUCAGAGAUUUUACUGAUCUCAUAUCUAGAAUUCUAAGAUGAUUGGUGACAUAUAGAUAUUAAAUAAUACAUAACAUGUAACAUGUAACUUUAGUUUACCCACAAACUGGCAACCCUCCAGAUACAUGGACUUCAACUCCCAGAAUUCCCUAGCAACUGUGGUUCUUACUGAGGAUUCUAGAUUUAUAGUCCAUGCAUCAGAGGGAUGCCCCAUUUCAAAUAUGCUAUGAUGAUAGGAUGAAUAAAUAAUUAUAUGGCAUAUUUUUGCAAUGCAUGCAAUAGUGGAAGAUUACAUUUGUUUUCCUAAUAAAGUAGCAAAAUCUUCUUGGAAUUAUACAAAAA